AGAGUUUGAUUCUGGCUCAGAACGAACGCUGGCGGCGUGGAUAAGACAUGCAAGUCGAACGAGAGAAUUGCUAGCUUGCUAAUAAUUCUCUAGUGGCGCACGGGUGAGUAACACGUGAGUAACCUGCCCCCAAGAGUGGGAUAGCCCCGGGAAACUGGGAUUAAUACCGCAUAAAAUCGCAAGAUUAAAGCAGCAAUGCGCUUGGGGAUGGGCUCGCGUCCUAUUAGUUAGUUGGUGAGGUAACGGCUCACCAAGGCGAUGACGGGUAGCCGGUCUGAGAGGAUGUCCGGCCACACUGGAACUGAGACACGGUCCAGACACCUACGGGUGGCAGCAGUCGAGAACCAUUCACAAUGGGGGAAACCCUGAUGGUGCGACGCCGCGUGGGGGAAUGAAGGUCUUCGGAUUGUAAACCCCUGUCAUGUGGGAGCAAAUUAAAAAGAUAGUACCACAAGAGGAAGAGACGGCUAACUCUGUGCCAGCAGCCGCGGUAAUACAGAGGUCUCAAGCGUUGUUCGGAAUCACUGGGCGUAAAGCGUGCGUAGGCGGUUUCGUAAGUCGUGUGUGANAGGCGGGGGCUCAACCCCCGGACUGCACAUGAUACUGCGAGACUAGAGUAAUGGAGGGGGAACCGGAAUUUUUCGGUGUAGCCGUGGAAAGGGGUAGAUAUUGAGAGGAACAUUCCUGGGGAAGGGGGGUUUCCUGGUCAUUAACUGACGCUGAGGCACGAAGGCCAGGGGAGCGAAAGGGAUUAGAUACCCCCGUAGUCCUGGCAGUAAACGGGUGCACGCUUGGUGUGCGGGGAAUCGACCCCCUGCGUGCCGGAGCUAACGCGUUAAGCGUGCCGCCUGGG
Molecule: ribosomal RNA, 853 nt
Filed under: uncultured bacterium
Lineage: Bacteria
Description: bacterial SSU rRNA
Rfam family: Bacterial small subunit ribosomal RNA
Source: RNAcentral